RNAcentral lists this ribosomal RNA (265 nucleotides) under uncultured bacterium. Its description in RNAcentral is "partial 16S ribosomal RNA". It matches the Rfam family "Bacterial small subunit ribosomal RNA", at positions 88 to 353 of the family's 1533-position model. The record is from RNAcentral.
GGUGAGAGUGGCGAACGGGUGAGUAAUGCGUGACCGACCUGCCCCAUACACCGGAAUAGCUCCUGGAAACGGGUGGUAAUGCCGGAUGCUCCAGUUGAUCGCAUGGUCUUCUGGGAAAGCUUUCGCGGUAUGGGAUGGGGUCGCGUCCUAUCAGCUUGACGGCGGGGUAACGGCCCACCGUGGCUUCGACGGGUAGCCGAACUGAGAGGUUGAACGGCCACAUUGGGACUGAGACACGGCCCAAACUCCUACGGGAGGCAGCAUG